RNAcentral lists this ribosomal RNA (429 nucleotides) under uncultured bacterium. RNAcentral's name for it is "bacterial SSU rRNA". It matches the Rfam family "Bacterial small subunit ribosomal RNA", at positions 355 to 776 of the family's 1533-position model. The record is from RNAcentral.
UGGGGAAUAUUGGACAAUGGGCGAAAGCCUGAUCCAGCAAUGCCGUGUGUGUGAAGAAGGCCUUCGGGUUGUAAAGCACUUUUAGUGGGGAAGAAAAGUUCAUGGCUAAUAUCCAUGAAUGCUGACGUUACCCACAGAAAAAGCACUGGCUAACUCUGUGCCAGCAGCCGCGGUAAUACAGAGAGUGCAAGCGUUAAUCGGAAUUACUGGGCGUAAAGCGCACGUAGGUGGAUGUUUAAGUCGGAUGUGAAAUCCCCGAGCUUAACUUGGGAAUUGCAUUCGAUACUGGGCGUCUAGAAUAUGGUAGAGGGAAGUGGAAUUUCUGGUGUAGCGGUGAAAUGCGUAGAUAUCAGAAGGAACAUCAGUGGCGAAAGCGGCUUCCUGGACCAAUAUUGACACUUAGGUGCGAAAGCGUGGGGAGCAAACAGG